Molecule: ribosomal RNA, 459 nt
Filed under: uncultured bacterium
Lineage: Bacteria
Description: partial 16S ribosomal RNA
Rfam family: Bacterial small subunit ribosomal RNA
Source: RNAcentral
CCUACGGGAGGCAGCAGUGAGGAAUAUUGGUCAAUGGUCGGGAGACUGAACCAGCCAAGCCGCGUGAGGGAGGAAGGUACAGAGUAUCGUAAACCUCUUUUGUCAGGGAACAAAGACUGGGACGCGUCCCCGGAUGAGUGUACCUGAAGAAACAGCAUCGGCUAACUCCGUGCCAGCAGCCGCGGUAAUACGGAGGAUGCGAGCGUUAUCCGGUUUUAUUGGGUUUAAAGGGUGCGCAGGCGGUCUGUUAAGUCAGCGUUCAAAGCCCGGGGCUCAACCCCGGCCCGCCGUUGAAACUGGCAGUCUCGAGUUGGAGAGAAGUAUGCGGAAUGCGCGGUGUAGCGGGGAAAUGCAUAGAUAUCGCGCAGAACUCCGAUUGCGAAGGCAGCAUGCCGGCUCCACACUGACGCUGAGGCACGAAAGCGUGGGUAUCGAACAGGAUUAGAUACCCCUGUAGUC